Molecule: ribosomal RNA, 462 nt
Filed under: uncultured Desulfuromonas sp.
Lineage: Bacteria; Pseudomonadati; Thermodesulfobacteriota; Desulfuromonadia; Desulfuromonadales; Desulfuromonadaceae
Description: bacterial SSU rRNA
Rfam family: Bacterial small subunit ribosomal RNA
Source: RNAcentral
GCACAAGCGGUGGAGCAUGUGGUUAAUUCGACGCAACGCGAAGAACCUUACCUGGGCUUGACAUCCCGAUCGCACCUUAUGGAAACAUAGGGGUCAGUUCGGCUGGAUCGGUGACAGGUGCUGCAUGGCUGUCGUCAGCUCGUGUCGUGAGAUGUUGGGUUAAGUCCCGCAACGAGCGCAACCCUUGUCCUUAGUUGCCAGCAUUCAGUUGGGCACUCUAAGGAGACUGCCGGUGUCAAACCGGAGGAAGGUGGGGAUGACGUCAAGUCCUCAUGGCCCUUAUGUCCAGGGCUACACACGUGCUACAAUGGCCGGUACAAAGGGGCGCAAGACCGCGAGGUGGAGCAAAUCCCAAAAAACCGGUCUCAGUUCGGAUUGGAGUCUGCAACUCGACUCCAUGAAGUUGGAAUCGCUAGUAAUCGCGUAUCAGCAUGACCGCGGUCGAAUACGUUCCCGGGCCUU